GAGAGAGAGGGAGGUAGCAAGAUACAAGAGAGUGCGCGAGCGCGAGAGAAAGGGAGGUAGGGACAGAGAAGAGAGAAAGGGAGGUAGGUAGGGACAGAGAAGAGAGAAAGGGAGGUAUGGACAGAGAAGAGAGAAAGGGAGGUAGGUAGGUAGGGACAGAGAAGAGAAGAGAGAAAGGGAGGUAGGUAGGGACAGAGGAGAGAGGGAAGUAGGGACAGAGAAGAGAGAAAAGGAGGUAUGGACAGAGAAGAGAGAAAGGGAGGUAGGGACAGAGAAGAGAGAAAGGGAGGUAAGGACAGAGAAGAGAGAAAGGGAGGUAGGGACAGAGAAGAGAGAAAGGGAGGUAGGGACAGAGAAGAGAGAAAGGGAGGUAUGGACAGAGAAGAGAGAAAGGGAGGUAUGGACAGAGAAGAGAGAAAGGGAGGUAUGGACAGAGAAGAGAGAAAGGGAGGUAGGUAGGGACAGAGAAGAGAGAAAGGGAGAUAUGGACAGAGAAGAGAGAAAGGGAGGUAGGGACAGAGAAGAGAGAAAGCGAGGUAUGGACAGAGAAGAGAGAAAGGGAGGUAUGGACAGAGAAGAGAGAAAGGGAGGUACGGACAGAGAAGAGAGAAAGGGAAGUACGGACAGAGAAGAGAGAAAGGAGGAGGUAGGGACAUAGAAGAGAGAAAGGGAAGUACGGACAGAGAAGAGAGAAAGGGAGGUAGGGACAGAGAAGAGAGAAAGGGAG
This is a long non-coding RNA of Oncorhynchus tshawytscha (Chinook salmon), 727 nucleotides long. The record is from Ensembl. NCBI's taxonomy places the organism in Eukaryota, Metazoa, Chordata, Actinopteri, Salmoniformes, Salmonidae.